UCCGGUUGAUCCUGCCGGACCCGACUGCUAUCGGAUUGGGACUAAGCCAUGCGAGUCAACUCCGCAAGGGGUGGCGCACGGCUCAGUAACACGUAGUCAACCUACCCUGGGGACGGGGAUAACCUCGGGAAACUGAGGCUAAACCCCGAUAGGUCAUGGCUCCUGGAAUGGGCCAUGGCUGAAAUCUAUAUGGCCCCAGGAUGGGACUGCGGCCGAUCAGGUUGUUGGUGGGGUAAUGGCCCACCAAGCCUAUAACCGGUGCGGGCUCUGAGAGGAGGAGCCCGGAGAUGGGCACUGAGACAAGGGCCCAGGUCCUAUGGGGCGCAGCAGGCGCGAAACCUCCGCAAUGGGCGAAAGCCCGACGGGGUCAGUCCGAGUGGUCCCCGCUGAGGGGACCUUUUGCCAGCUGUAAACAGGCUGGAGAAUAAGGGGUGGGCAAGUUUGGUGUCAGCCGCCGCGGUAAUACCAGCACCCCGAGUGGUCGGGACGAUUAUUGGGCCUAAAGCAUCCGUAGCCGGCUCAGUAAGUCCUCCGUUAAAUCCAACGGCUCAACCGUUGGGCUGCGGGGGAUACUGCUGGGCUAGGGGGCGGGAGAGGCGAGGGGUAUUCCCGGGGUAGGGGUAAAAUCCACUGAUCCCGGGAGGACCACCAGUGGCGAAGGCGCCUCGCUAGAACGCACCCGACGGUG
RNAcentral lists this ribosomal RNA (688 nucleotides) under uncultured archaeon. Its description in RNAcentral is "bacterial SSU rRNA". It matches the Rfam family "Archaeal small subunit ribosomal RNA", at positions 1 to 699 of the family's 1478-position model. The record is from RNAcentral.